Molecule: ribosomal RNA, 161 nt
Filed under: Staphylococcus aureus
Lineage: Bacteria; Bacillati; Bacillota; Bacilli; Caryophanales; Staphylococcaceae
Description: partial 23S ribosomal RNA
Rfam family: Bacterial large subunit ribosomal RNA
Source: RNAcentral
GAUUAAGUUAUUAAGGGCGCACGGUGGAUGCCUUGGCACUAGAAGCCGAUGAAGGACGUUACUAACGACGAUAUGCUUUGGGGAGCUGUAAGUAAGCUUUGAUCCAGAGAUUUCCGAAUGGGGAAACCCAGCAUGAGUUAUGUCAUGUUAUCGAUAUGUGA